GAUCCUGUGGCUUCUCUGGGCCAUGAUUUCUUCAUCUGUAAAAUAUGUAUCUUAGACAAGAUGGGAUCUGAGAUUCAUUCCAUCUUUAUAUCUUUUCUUUGAAGACCCCAUGAACCCGAGUGAACCGAAGUCGAGGGGAUGUGCUAUAAAGAAUGAUUAGGAUUUGGACAGGGAGAAAGGAAAGAGUUAAUCAAGCAUGAGGCAAUAAGCCAUCUGAGAGAAUGCUUUGGCAAGUGAGGCCAGGUCCAGGACCCUGUUCACUCCUCCUGAAGGCAUCCCUUUUCUUAGUACUUGAAGUUGAUGUGUCCCCUCACCUCCUCCCUCCCUCAUGCCUGGCCCAUUCUGGGAUAUUAGCAAGUAAUGAUGAUAAUGAUGAUGACGAUGAUGAUGAUGAUGAUGAUGAUGAUACAGCGGAGUGUUAUAGGAGGAACAGUUCUAAAUUUUGAGUCAAAGGAUUCAUUAUUGAAGAUUGGAUAUACUUCUUCAUUACUGGGGACUAACAGAAGAAGGUAAGUUGCACAGUAUACAGAUUAAAGACUGGAGUCAGGAAAAAAAACCAAACUUAUUUUAAAUUGAGCCUCAUACACUUACUAGUUGUAUGAUCCUAGAUGAUUCAGUUGAGUUCUGUUGGCCUCAGUUUCCUCACCUGAAAAUGGGGAUAAUCAUAGAACCUAUUUCCAGGGGUGCAAAUUAAACGAGGAGGGUAUCUCCUAU
This 714-nucleotide long non-coding RNA is filed under the name Monodelphis domestica (gray short-tailed opossum). Its description in RNAcentral is "lncRNA (ENSMODG00000048885.1)". The record is from RNAcentral. Lineage: Eukaryota; Metazoa; Chordata; Mammalia; Didelphimorphia; Didelphidae.